AGCGGUAACAGGAAUUAGCUUGCUAAUUUGCUGACGAGCGGCGGACGGGUGAGUAAUGCCUAGGGAACUGCCCAGUCGAGGGGGAUAACAGUUGGAAACGACUGCUAAUACCGCAUACGCCCUACGGGGGAAAAGAGGGGACCUUCGGGCCUUCUGCGAUUGGAUGUACCUAGGUGGGAUUAGCUAGUUGGUGAGGUAAUGGCUCACCAAGGCGACGAUCCCUAGCUGUUCUGAGAGGAUGAUCAGCCACACUGGGACUGAGACACGGCCCAGACUCCUACGGGAGGCAGCAGUGGGGAAUAUUGCACAAUGGGCGCAAGCCUGAUGCAGCCAUGCCGCGUGUGUGAAGAAGGCCUUCGGGUUGUAAAGCACUUUCAGCGAGGAGGAAACUUAAGCGUUAAUAGCGUUUAGGUGUGACGUUACUCG
Molecule: ribosomal RNA, 426 nt
Filed under: Shewanella sp. P12-1
Lineage: Bacteria; Pseudomonadati; Pseudomonadota; Gammaproteobacteria; Alteromonadales; Shewanellaceae
Description: bacterial SSU rRNA
Rfam family: Bacterial small subunit ribosomal RNA
Source: RNAcentral